Molecule: ribosomal RNA, 451 nt
Filed under: uncultured bacterium
Lineage: Bacteria
Description: bacterial SSU rRNA
Rfam family: Bacterial small subunit ribosomal RNA
Source: RNAcentral
GAUGAACGCUGGCGGCGUGUCUAAGGCAUGCAAGUCGAAUGGUCUGGUUUCCAGGCCAUGGCAAACGGGAGAGUAACACAUUGGUAAUUUACCCCAAAGACGAGAAUAAUCCAGAGAAAUCUGGAAUAAUACUCGAUAUUAUGCAUUGUCGCCUGACAAUGCAUCAAAGCUCCGGCGCUUUGGGAGAAGCCUAUGGUCUAUCAGCUAGUUGGUGAGGUAAUGGCCCACCAAGGCGACGACGGAUAGCGGGUGUGAGAGCAUGACCCGUCUCACUGGGACUGAGACACUGCCCAGACUCCUACGGGAGGCUGCAGUCAAGAAUAUUCCUCAAUGGCCGAAAGGCUGAAGGAGCGACGCCGCGUGUAUGAUGAAGCCCUUCGGGGUGUAAAAUACUUUUAACCGGGACGAAGUACUGACGGUACCGGUUGAAUAAGGGGCUGCUAACCUCGUG